UAGAUCGAAUGAAAAUUCUUUUCUCCUUGGUUUUCGGAAGAUCAGAUCCCUUGAUGCCUUCAUUUGGUUUCUUCUGCUGAGGCAUUGAUCCUUUAGUAGGUUUCACUGAUGUCUUGUUUUGUAGCUUUACGUUGUUCAUGAGUUCCUGCAUUUCUUCCAUCUUUACUUGCAUCUCCUCUGCUGAUUCAGUAUCUCUGCAUUUCUUUUUAUCAUCUAACAGAAGGGGCUGUGGUUGAUACUUCAAUCCAUCCAGCACAGCCUUGUACACUUUCUUCCCGCCUGCAAACUCAUAAAUGGGCAAAACAAAUUUUUAUGAACUAUUUAUCAAUGCUUAAAGUUCCAAAUCCUAGUAGAACAAUUGUAUGCGCAAGUUUGACCAGGUGCCUAUGAGAAGGCCUAGUCUCUAAUUUGUAAAUGUAAUCCAUAUUUAGAGAAACAAACACCACACACAUCUUGCAGUUCAUCUAUCAGGUUCUGCACUCUCAAACAUAUCACCUGCUCUUUCACAGAAGCACAAAAACAAAGCAUUUGCAAUGUAAAACAAAUCGAAUAUAAAGCAAAAUGACUGAAGAGCUGUGCAUUCUGCUAUAACUGAAUCGACACAAGAGGUCCACACGACAGAUUCCAAAAGUCCAACAUGAGGAUGUAGUCAUAUAGCUAUCGAUUUGUAUAUGAAUAAAAAUAUUCUCAUAUUGUUAUUGCCUCCCCAAAGAAAUAUAUAAACAAAAACUAACAAGCAAGUAUGCGAAAAUUUCAUAGCGAAACUGCUAAAAAUCCCUUAAACUGUUACACAUAUUCCAGGCAAAUAACUGCGCAUUAGCAUCUAAUUUUCAUCAUCAUUUGAUUACUGUCUUUCCGUUUUAAGAUAGUUUUCCCGAAUUCAGAAACAAUGCAGAGCCAUCCUUCCUGCGCUUAAACUAAGACACACUAAAAACCUAACCUGCUUAGAAAAUUACAGUAUUGAAUUUCAAAGAAUUACAAUGAAUUUCAGUCAGAAUCAGAUCUCAACAAUCACUGUAAAUUACAGAGAAUCUGAAGUUGAACCGUACAAAUGUGGAUCUGUAUAAAUUCAACAAAAUGAAUAUUUAUGUUAUGACCAUAAAGUUUCUACUCUAGACUGUUAAUUAAUUAAAAUACAGAAAAGUACAAAAUUCUAUCAACCUCCAAAAAGCUAACUUCAUCACAUAAUAUUGAAAUGCAGAACGGAAUAAUACGAAAUUUAUUGAAAAUAAAUCAAAUUAGCUCAAAAGUAUAAACAGAGAAAAAGUAGCACUAACCAGUGAAGCCUUUGAAAGAGACGUUGACGGCGGAAUCGAGGGCGAAUUCGGUGAAAAUUUUCAGGAAUCCCCCGAUCUUCGCUCGACGAUCCAAAUUGCUGAUUGGAUGUUGAUCUUUGUCGACUUUAACGGCGUCUGACAUGCCGGUGACGGAGAAGAUAUACGCGCCUUGUACUGUUUGGUUCUAACAGUUUCGCGACAGAUUUUGAUUUUGCUGUUUACAGGGGAACGCAAAUCCUUAGUCUAAUAAAAAGUAUUUAAGCCAAUAGGCUUUAGCUUAACGGUCAACCUCUGUCACAAUUUUUCUAAAUUGUGAAGAUCGAGAUUUGAGUUAUCAUGAAUUUAAAAAUUCUUUCAAUAAAAUAUUAUAUAUAAUUGUGUAAAAUUUAUUUAUAACUCUUUUUCUAUUGUGAAAUGUGAGUGAAGCACAAAUAUUUCUUAAAUUAUUUAUUUAAAUAUAUAUUUUAUAGAUUGUAAAUAUAUGUAUAAUACAGUAAUAUGAUAUGUAAUUAAUAUUAAAAAUAAAAAAUAUUUAAAUACUUCUUUCAUUUACCUAAGAAGUUCUAAAAUAUAUUUCUCUUUUUUUUUUUUUCUUUUUUUAGGUAAAACAGGGGCUCUAAACAGAGGUAAAGAACAACAGAACGAGGAUGGACCCUUCCAUAAGCAUCAUGAAACAAGAAAGAUCUAACGCCCAACGGGAGAGUAAGGUACACAACAAGACCAAGAGGACUAGAGAAAGCUAGCCUCGCCAUAUAACCAGCCGCAAAUUUAGCUUCUCGGUAAAUAUGAGAGAUGCAAACUUGCCAAUCCAACUUUAAAUAAUCCUUAAUAGCUUGAAUAAGCGGGGCAUAGUGAUUGAUAUCCAAGGUCGGCUUAGUCACCAACUGAAACACACAACGACUAUUUGUUUUAACUUUGAGCCUUCUUAUGCCAGAGUUCUAGGCCAGAUGCAACCCUUGAUACAAACUCCAAAGCUCUGCUACUGUAAUAGAACAUGAUCCAAUCAUCAUCCCAAAACCACUAAGCCAGCGACCCAUGUGAUCACGAAUUAGGCCCCCAGCAGUAGAUAUCCCAUUCCUGUUAUGAGCACCAUCAAUGUUCAAAGUACACCAAGGCCAAUCCGGAGGUUUCCAAGAGAUCCAUCGAUUCACCUUGUAUGCCCUGUGGUAAGUGGAUGGGUAUGAAACUUAUGCAUCUCCGCAGCGCAUGUAAGAACAUUCACUAACACAGCAUUCGGAUCCAUAAAAGCUUGAUUAAAAAGGAAUUGGUUCCUCCAAAACCAAAGUCUCCAGAGCACAAUACCAAAGAAGGUUGCCCAGUUAGAAACACUCCCCAGCUUUCCAGCAAUCCCCACAUUCGAACUAAGCCACUCCUGGAGCCGAGAACUGAAGAAGGACUCACGUUUGUUCUCAAGAAUUAUCAAGAGGCAAAACCUCUUAACCAAGCUAUAGUCUCGCAAGGCAUGGAUAACAUCCUUAGUCACAGCCCACACCGAUCGCAGGCUGUUGAAACAGAGAUGUGACGACAAGCCAACUCAGCCUUGGUUUUCAACCGAUCAUGAAGCACUUGCCAUAAGAAAAUACGCACACUUUGGGGGCCUUUCCAGCUCCAAACCAUGCGCUAGAGACGGUCAUCAUGCAUAAGAUUAUCAUCCGAAAUCGCCAAGUAUGCAGAAUGAGUAGUGAACCGCCCAGACUUUGAGUGAGCCCAAAAAAUUAAAUUUGUGCCCUUAGCAGGGGACGGGGGAUGGAGAGCAGCAAUCUGAAGGAUGAUAUUAGAAGGAAGAAAAUGUUCAAAACAAUCCCAGUACCAGGAGCCAUCCUCUUUGACGAAAUCAGCUACCUUGACAUUUAAGAUAUUACUGGGAAUUAUGUUGGUGGCAUACGCAGCAAGAGGGACAUCAUUGGUCACCUAAAGGUCCCACCAAAACUGAACGGACUAACCAUCACCCAAACACCAGCGUCUACUUACCAAGACCUCAUUCCAAUCCCACCAAAACUGAACGGACUAACCAUCACCCAAACACCAGCGUCUACUUACCAAGACCUCAUUCCAAACACUGCCGAGAGAUUUCCAUAAAUGAGAACCAUAGCGGGUAUGAAGCACAAGGGGCGGAUUAUGAGUAUAAACCCCAUACUUAGAAGCAAGAAUCUAAACCCAAAAACUGUUAGGAGAGGAGAUGAGACCCCAAGAAGGUUUCAUAUGGAGAGCCCGAUUCAUCAUAGCCAAAGAUUUAAACCCCAGCCCACCAGCUGACUUCGGUUUACAAAUAUCCCUCCAACUAAUCAUGCUAAGACGUUGAUGAGGUGAAGAGCCACUCCAAAUAAACCGUAUGCAUGCCCUAUCAAUCCUCUCUCUAACCCCAAUAAGAAGAGAAACAGUUUGCAUGACGUAAAUGGGAAUAGCCUGAAGAACCGAUUGAGCCAGAGUAAUGCGACUGGCCAGAGACAAAUGGGAGGCAUUCCAACCAGAGAGCCACUUCUCAACUUUAUCAAUAAUAUCCUGGAACAUAUUGUUGGAGACUCGUGUAUGGUGAAGGGGAACCCCCAAGAUAUUUACCAAGAUCUUGCGUAACCGAAAAACCAAGAGCACUGGAAAUCCUGGCCACAUCUCUAUCUCCUACAUUUUUGGAAAAAUAUAACAAAGUCUUAUUAUCAUUGACUUUAGCUUCUGAACUGUAACAAUAAGAGUCCAAGAUUGCUGAAAUAACCUGAGCUUGCUCCAUAGAAGCUUCAGCCAGCAAAAAGAGAUCAUCCGCAAAGAAAAAAAUGAGAGAGAUGAAUAUCAUUUCGAGCCAAAUGGAUCGGUUUCCACUUUCCAGCAGUAAUAGCAUUAUGAAUCCCGUGACUAAGGCGUUCGAUGCAGAGAAUAAAUAAGUAAGGAGACAAUGGAUCACCCUGACGAAUUACACGGGAAGGCGAGAAUUCAUCAGUGACUUCACCAUUCCACAGAACCCUCAUUUUAACUGAGGUAAUACGAGCCAUAAUAACCUGAAUGAGAUCCGGAGGAAGACGAGCCUCACACAAAGUAUCAUUAAUGAAUUCCUAACUAAGGUGAUCAUACGCUUUCUCAAGAUCAACUUUAAUCGCCAUAAAGGCCCUUGCACCAGUCUUUUUUCGCAUUGAAUGGAUAACUUCUUGAGCAAUCACAAUAUUUUCCGUUAUAUAGUGACCAGGAACAGAGCUAGUUUGGUGGGGGCCAAUUAGCUAAGGUAAAACCGAUUGGAGCCUAUUGGCAAUAAUUUUGGUAAUGGUCUUGUAGGCUACAUUAUAAAAAGAGAUAGGACGGUACAAUUUCAAAGAAGAGGGGUUCUCAAUCUUUGGAACGAGAGCAAGCAAUGUAGAAUUCAGAUCCCCAAGGAUGCAUUUAUGCUGAAAAACAUCUUUCACCAAACAACAUAGAGAUGAGCCGACCGUAUCCCACUGAGUUUGAUAGAAAAUGCCGUGGAGGCCAUCCGGACCCGGGGCUUUGAGGGGGUGCAUGCCAAAGGUAGUUCUUUUAAUUUCAUCAUCGUCCACGUGCCCAUGAAGAUAUUGAAGCUCGUCAUAAUCAAUAAUAGGAAAAGAGUUCGGAUGAGGGUAUGCCCGAAAAUCUGGAGAAUUGCAAGAAUAAAAGGGAAGAAUAAAACUAAAUAGCAUGGGCCUUUAUUUCAUCUUUAUCACAAAUCCAAGUACCCAUAUUAUUUUGUAUGGCCGUGAUAUGAUUUCGAUGCCUUCUAGAUAAAGUUUUCUGAUGGUAGUAGGAAGUGUUAAGAUCACCUAACAGAAGCCAAUCCUUGCGCGACUUCUGAAGCCAGAUAAUCUCUUCCUGAGUAAGCACCUCUUCAAGUUCUGUUUUCAAUUUUAAUUCAAGCUCAAGGAGCCCUUGAGAAGAAUACUCCUCCAAAGCCCGCUGAAUCCCCCCCAAACGAGCCAGUAAAUGCUGUUCCUCCUAAAAAUAUUCUCAAAACACCGCUUAUUCCAUUCCAUGACUUUAAGCCGAAAAAGAUCAGCCGCCUCGAGGUAGUUGAUGUUCCGGUCCCAUGAGGUGGUCACAAAAUCCUUGAAACCAUCAUUCGUGAGCCAAGUUGCCUGAAACCGAAACGGACGAGAAUCCAAGUUCCUUGGAGGUAAAAUAUUCUCUUUCACUAGAAGCGGUCUAUGAUCCGAAAUAAAUUUCGGGAGAUGAAGCACAGUUGCAGCGGCAUAAUUCUGAGCCAAUUCACUAUUGCAAAUAAUUCUAUCAAGGCAUUUGAAAAGGUUGCUGUGAGACCAAGUGAAGUGUGGCCCAUGGAAAUGAAGUUCAUACAUACAAUGAGUAUGAAACCAAGACUGAAAAAGUCUGCAAGCACCUGUGCCCGUCGGAGAUCCUCAUUUCUUUUCAGAAUUAUACAAAAUAGUAUUGAAAUCACUACCCAAAAGCCAAGGACCAUGGACAGUAAGAGCAAUAUUCGCCAACUCAUUCCAAAGAUAUCUCCUGAUGCUUGGAUUAGAACUAGCAUAGAUCGCCGUCAUCUAAGUUAGCAAGCUAUUGUUCUUGAAAAUAUUGAGAUGGAUGAACUGAGUAUGGUUCCCAACAAUCUCAACUUCAAAUAAAUCUUUCCAAAGAAUCCAAAUAUCGCUAGAAAAACCCUCUGCUUCCACCCGAUGAGAUUUGUCAAAACCACUAUUCUUGAUGAAAUUAUCCGUCUUAGACCCAUUGAUGCGAGGUUCCAUUAAUACCACCAUUACGGGUUUGUAAUUAUUUACCAAUGCAGAAAAAGGAUGACGAAAAGACGGUGAACUUUAAGUGUUCCAAAACAUAGUCGUAAUACACAUAAUAAGUGGUUUAAAAGGAAGAUUGAAGGAAUUACGGAGAAAGCCCCAAGGCUUCAGCUUCAUCGUCCAUAACAGUGUCAGGAACCCUUGAACUAUCAUCGUCAGUUAAAGGAAACCUGUCCCGACCCAUAACUGCUGAAUCUAGCUCCCCAAGAUUUUCCAGCCUUGUAUUAAGAUUAUUACUUCCGUAAUCAUCAGGGGGCUCUCUAUCAAAACUCUGAGCUAACUGUCAUCAGACGGAUGAUCAUGGUUAGGCAAAAAAUGAGAGGAUUGUAAGGGAAAGAAACGACACUGCGAUGUAAAGGAUUAAGGGUUACAGGAGCAGGAAUCGGGGAAGCAACCUUGUUAUUAGGAUUAGCAUGCAUGCAAUGCAUGGAACUAGAGGGAAUAUCAGGGGUAGCACAUGGCAUAGACUUAGUUAAAACCUUUGGGUUUACGUGCAUGCCUUGCAUGGCUCGGGUUGGGCUAUUAGGUUGGAAAGUUUGAGCGCGACAAUGAAUAUUUGGGUUAAUGUUUUCAGUUAAGGACUUGUUUGAUGGAACUGGAAUCUUUUUGGUAGGAUAUUUUCUCAUUGGUUGACUCACAUGCUUCUUUUUCAUGCUUCUAGAUUUAGGGGCUAAAGCAUAAGGAUUUUACAAGACUGGCUCCGUAAUGCCCUGAUGAACAGCCGAAAUAUUUUCCUAAUUUUGAGGGACAGUUUCCUCUUCCACCACUUUACGUAAAACAUCGAACCGUGAUUCCUGAACUUUCGACCCAUGUUGAUCCUGAACCAGAAUCUUAGGGGACUCCAUUUCUAAAGGUCUACGAGGGCGAGGUUUACGGGUUACCACCAUCCAUGAUCCAAACUUAGACUCAUUCCAAUCAGAAACCUCCCCGACCACCAUAGCCCGAUUUACGACAUCAGGACAUGGAAUAGGUAAUCCAGUUGCCAAGGGAGUAACACCACCAUCAGGGCAAGCAUCUUUGUAAUGGCCAAAUUUGCAACAGCAAAAGCAUAUCAAAGGCAAAUUUUCAUACUCCACCUUCUGGAUUCUUCCCUUAAAAUUAAACUGAGAAACUAGUGGCUUUUCAAGGUCCAACUGAACCACAAUGCGAGCAAAUUUUCCUCUUUGGGCCGCGUCAGUAUUAUAGUCAAUCUUAAUAUUAGUUUUAUGAUAAAAAUGAAUGUUCAUACCUGAUAAGCGAAUCCAGGCCACAAUACGAUCAAUUUUAUUCGUAGCAACAUCAAAAUCCGGUUCAAGGCCCCAUGACAGUUAGAUAAUGCCCCAUGACAGUUCAAGGCCCCUCAGUGAGUGCAUACUCCACAUCCCUCUCAUUCCUAUUAUGGACCAAGUAGUAAUCAUUAGCCAAGUCGAUGAUGGAAAAUCCCAUUGUAGAACUCCAGAUUCUCUUCAAACGUUCGCUGAUGACUCUAUAACCCAAAUUACGCCCAAGAGUUUUAAUGACAACUAAAUUCUCCCAAGGUUGGACUAAUCGGUCGUGAAUUCUCUGUGAGAAUGCAAUAUAGGGCAUAAAUUCAUCCUCCUUAAAAAAGACAUCAUCCUCUUCUAGCUCCCACUUGUCCUUCGUGCCAAAAACUACAUUCGCAGAACCUUUUUGCUCUUCCAUUGCUAUGUCACGGUAGGAUAGGGGUGUAGGGUUGUCUCCAUCAUCCCCUUCAGCCCUAAACUUUGCCUUUUUGGUGAAACAGUCGCUCGCCAAUGGCGGUGGAGAGACUUUCUCAGAACUCAUUUGGGUUUUUUUUGAAAUCUGGAAAAAAAAGUUAACUCUUUAUCCUCUUCUUUUCUAUUUUUUUAAGAAGUUCUAAAAUAUUUCUCUUCCUUUUAUUUUUUAAAAUCUUUCUAUAAUUUUCUAAAAAAAUAGAAAAGAAAAAUUUUAAAAGUGAUUAGGUAAAUAAGUUUUACUAUUAUUUUAUUUUUGUUGAUUUUUUUAUUAUGACCUGACCACUGUGAGAUUUCUUUUAAAAUCAAUUGACAUAUGAUAUUAUUAAUUUAAUGGUUAUGAUUUGUUUCUAAAUUAUUUUGACUAACCUCUUAAAAAAUGCAUUUUUUUUUGUCUGAAUCACAAGGUGGUCCUGAGUGGGCCCCAACUGUGGGAGAUACAUUUUUUUUUGUUUGAAUCACGAGGUGGUCCUGAGUGGGCCCCAGCUGUGGGAGACACCUUUAAACUUGGGUCAUAACUGUGGGAGACACCUUUAAGUCCAUACCACAACCUAGACUAAUCUCCACUCGCACCGGGUCGGUCCAUAAGGGGUAAAGUGCUGGCCAAAGUAGUGACUCUAUACGAGAACGGAACUUGAACCCCUGACUUCUCUUAAGGAGUGAGAGUACCGAACCACUCAGUUUGCUAACUUUAGUUAUAAAAGAUGCAUUUUAAUUCCUUAAAACUCUUCGUCAUGACUGAUUUUUCCCGCUUUCACUCCAUAAUUUUUGCUCUUGUCAAUUUAUUCUCUCAUCAUCAUCAACUCUUCUUCUCCUGAUAAUUAGCCAUCGAACUUAGUAACGUCAUGUCAAUAAAUUUUUUAAAAAUCAAAAUCAUGAGAGGACUUUUUAAAGUAAGAAUAUGUUAAACUUUUCUCACAAAUAAUUUUAUAUACUUCAUUUAUUGGUCCUUUACAAUAUCCAUACCAUCAAAUAGUCAUAUUUUAUUAAUUUUGUUUAUUUUUUGAUUAUAUGUUAAUACAUAAAUACAAUAUUUUAAAAAAUACUGUAGCUGACCAUAUUUUAUAAGAAUUUUGGCAACAUUAUUUAAAAAUUUUAGAAAUAAACCAUUUUAACUUUUAAAUUAGAAAAUCUUCAUGAAUUAAUAUUAGUUAAUUGGAGUUGCGAAACUUUUUUUUUUUUUUUUUGGCUUUUUACACGGUCCUCACGGACGCCAAGCAGCAGACCUAUAUAAUAAAAAUUCUGCAGCAACGGUAUAACUUCCCAGUUGAUUCUCUUGCUUCACUCUUCUGAGACUCAGAGAGAAAGAGAUGGGAAUCUACGAUUACAUUUCUGGGACAGUGGAUUCAAUUAAACGCAACACACCGGAUCUAACUGCCGUUAAGGGCAUAUGCUGGUAUUCCUACGAUUACAGCCGGGCUGCCGUUACGAACAUCCAUAACGCCGUUACAGUCAACGGCAAAGCCGUCGUCGAGAAAGUUAACCAGCACUUGCCCGAUCAAGAAACAAGGUCAGAGAUCACCACCAACUUGGUCAAAAGCUCCGCCCAUUUCGCCUUCAAAGAGGGGCUUAAGCUCGUUCCUGGUUUGCAUGCAACCUUUUUAUUUUAUGAUAAUAUUACUACUCGCUAUUUGUAUUCAUAUUUUUUAAAAAAAAUAUUUAUUUGCUUUUGUUUUCUUUUUAUAUGCUAGAUGAUUAAUUGAUGUCUGAAAAUAGUUUAAGUGAUUUCUUUUUUUAAUAUUGUUACGACUUACGAGGAUGUUUCGUCCGUACUAUGAGGAUCAAUGUGACCAAGUUGUUCACUUGGGAUUUUUCAAUCUCACAAACUGCGGUAUGUGAUCUCAUUUUGAAUUGGGUUACAUCGUAAUUGGUUGGUUCAUAAUGCUGGAUAUCUAGCAAUAGUUAGUUAUUCAGGUUGUUUCUAGGAAAGACAAGACGAACCAGUUGGCUUUGGCAGAGGUCUUGUCACUUCCAUUUGUAGGGGGCUUUGUGCUGCUUUUCACCAGAGAAGUGAAACAUGCGUGAUAGAGGGAUUAUUUGCUACUAAUUUCAGUUACAUUUCUUUGUUAGCAAAAUAUUUCAUGCAGUUCUGGCUGUCAUUUUUAGAUGAUUCUAUGUUAGUUUGCCAUUGCAAUGCCCCAAAAAGGGCCCCAGUGCCACUCGAUAAUUCUUUAGAGAUUUUUGGGACUUCAAUUGGUGGGGUUCUCAUCAUACCCCGCACCAGAACGCCAAUGGCAUCAGAGUUUAUAAGUUCUGUAAUUACUUGUAACUUCAAAAUGCCUUACGUAUGGCGCACACGCUGUCUGUAAAGAUAGAAAGUGUUAGCAUGAUGUGACUUGUUAGUUUCCCUUCUAAAUGGAUUAUUAUUUUCAGGUGGAUCCGCAGUUUUCAACAUUGUAGAUCGAUCCCUCCCCAGUGAUAAGAAAAAGCUGCAAAAGAAUAAAGAUCUGCUAGAACUGAAUGAUAAGGUUGAAAGACUGGAAAAAGAACUCCGUGAUUAUAAGAAAUUACUUGACAAAACUGGGAUACAAAAGCCAACAGUGGAAUUAAAGUCCAAGAACACACCUGAUUUGCAUCAAAAACCAGAAGACGUGAUCAGAGCUUUCAUGAUGACAGAGUUUAUGUGUAAUCGUUUCUUGGAUGGCCUAAUUGUUCCUGAGAUUAGAUCAAGGAACCACCGUCAGUAUUAAGUAUGUUAAACAAAAUGGUCCCUGAACAAGUCACUGUAUGCGGUAUCUGUAUAAUUAGAUAUCCUUCUGCACAAUCACAGAUUCAUUCUGUGUGAACUUGAUUGUCUUGUUGAGUCUUCUUGCUAUAUAAUUCAGGGUACUAUUUUAAUGUCAGCAUGUUAUGUAAUUGUAAACUUUCAGCUUCUGAAUGGUCUGGCUUUUUAAGUCAAUAGAUUCGAUGUUUUGUUGUUAAUUAUACUUUAUUCAACUUGAGAUCCCUGCAAGUUGAAGAAUGUUUCUGAAAAUCUUGCUGAUGGAUGAUUGUAGGGAAAUGAGUUAGUUGAAUGCAAGGAAAUAAGUUAGAUAUGCCAAGAUUGCAAGACUUUUGACAAGAUUAUUUAGAAUAUCUAAAAAUUACAUCUUUUCCCAAAAUGUAAAAUUAAUAACAUUAUAUUUAACAAACUUUUAAUGUUUGUUAAUAUUUUCUUUGGCUUAAGACUUGUUUGGAAUUGAAAUUAGACAACUAUAACUUAAAAGUUACGGUAUUAAAAUGUUUGGUAAAUACUUACUGUUAUAACUUUGAAGUUACGAUAAAACAUUUAUUUAUUUUUUUUUUAAAAGAAACUUCCAUUAAAACGAAGAAGAAAAUAAAUACAUCAAUUGUGAAGGGUAAGAACCCAUCCAAACAACAUUUUCACAUUUCUCUAAUGCUAACUUAACUAGAGAGUGGGCAAUGGCAUUACAAGAUCUAUGAGUAUAAUUAAUGCUAAUUAGCUCAAAGUUCCUCAUUAAGUUUUGAAUCUCCAAAAUUAUCCAAAAGAUCUCAGAAUUGCCGCCUUGCUUGUUGUUAACUAACUUGACUACGCUUUGAGCGUCUGAUUCAACAAUUAAAGCCUUUGCACUUGCAUUCCUAGCAAUCUGUAAUCCCCAUUCCAAGGCUUCUGCUUCAGCAAAGGAAACAUCUCCAUGAAAUUUUGAAAUCUUGAUUGCAGCUGCUAUGACAUUCCCCCGAUCAUCUCGGAUUAUAGCUCCCAGCCCUGCAAGGUGCUUUUCUGAGCUUGUUGCAGCAUCCACAUUGACUUUAACAAAUCCACUUUUGGGGGGAUUCCAAAUCUACUGAGUCUGCACCUACUGACUUUCCUUUGGAGCUUGCUCUGGUUUUUGAACUCUUUUGUAAGCCUCCAUUAUUGCUUCAGCUUUAGCAACCAGAGCCUGGGGGUUCUCUCUUUUUCCUUUAAAAAGCAUCUCAUUUCUUGCAUUCUACACCAUCCAACAAAUCAUAACCAUUAGUUCUAAAUCGGCUUUGUUUCUUCUUCUGCACAUUUCAUGCAGCAAACUCAAAAAAUCCUGCCCAGCAGUUUGCAUGAUGUCAUUCUCUAAUAGAGUGAGUUUCCAGAUUUUCCUUGCAGCUUUACACUUUACCAAUGCAUGAAACACAUUCUCCACUCCGAGCUUGCAUACUUGGCAGGUAGGCUCUUGGAUGAUUUUUCUCUUCCACAAAUUUUCAGCAGAGGGGAGAAUAUUCUUGGCUGCCCUCCAAGCAAAAAUUCUGAUUUUCUCAGGUAAAGUAAGAGUCCAUAUGAUAUUCCAUUGGUUUUUUCCUGACAUUGAACUUGAAGGCAUGGCUGGGAAUUUAAGACUAAGGGUUGUUUGAUAGCCACUCUUGACCGAGUAGAGACCUUUCUUGUCAUAAUGCCAGAUGAUUGUAUCUUCUUUUAGGCUUCUAGGCAAAGGGAUUUCAACAAUUUUAUCAGCAUCCAUUCUAUUGAAAUUCCUGUAUAUCAGGCUCUCAUCCCACUGGUUUUCUUCAUUUAUCAGCUCAGCAACCAAUGUAUCUUCUGGCAAAGAUGGCCUAACUAUUGGCUUAAAGGUUGACGGCUUCGGGAUCCAGUUAUCUUUGUGAAUUUGGAUUUUUUGGCCAUCUCCAAUCCUCCACCUAGCACCAGAACCGAGAAUCUGCCUUCCCCAUAGGAUGCUUCUCCAUACAAAUGAUGGUGUGGACCCGAGCUUAGCCUUCAUGAAGUCUUUAUUUUGGAAAUACCUAGCUUGUAGAACCUUUGCCACUAAUGAAUCCGGGAAUUGUAAGAUCCUCCACCAUUGCUUAGCCACUAGAGCUUGGUUGAAACUUGAGAAGUCUCGGAAACCCAUACCUCCUUUACAUUUGGCCUGACUCAGCUUCUCCCACUUCGACCAGUGGAUGCUUCUUUUGUCGCUCUUUGAUCCCCACAAAAAAUUAGCCACAGUUUUUUUGGAUAUCAUUGCAAACACCCAUUGGGAUCUUGAAUACACUCAUGGCAUAGGCUGGAAUGGCUUGCGCUGCAGCUUUGAUUAAAAUUUCUUUGCCCCCACAUGAGAAGAAUUUGUGCUGCCAGCUGGAGAUUUUGUUAAAGACUUUCAGCUUGAUGUCAUUAAAGAAGUUGCUCAUCUUUCUUCAUAUUAUAGCUGGUAGGCCUAGAUGCUUCUCGUGCCUUGAGACAAUAUUGAGCUGAAAAAUCUGUCCAAUUGCAGUGGCUCGAUCAUGCUGGACAUUGCCACUCAGGAACAAAGAUGAUUUCUCAAAAUUAAAAAUUUGCCCGGAAGCUGCAGAGUAGCAAUCAAGUAUUUUUUUUCAGGUUCCUGCAAUCGGCCAUUGAAGCUCGGCUAAAUAUAAGACUAUCAUCAGCGAACAAGAGGUGAGAAAUGUUCAACUCAUUUCCAAACGACAGCCCAUGGAUGAGUUUCUGUUGUUCGGCCUGCAGCAACAAAGAGGAAAAGACCUCUGCACAAGUAAUAAACAAGUAAGGGGACAUGGGGCACCUUUGCCGUAAGCCUCUCUGGGGCUUUAUUAAGCCUCUGAUCGAGCCAUUUAUAAUCAAAGAGAAAGAAACAGAGCUUAUACACUUCAUGACCAAGCUAAUCCAGUUUUGAGAAAACCCCAUACAUUUCAUAGUUUGCUCAAUAAAGCUCCAUUCCAAUCUGUCAUAGGCUUUACUAACAUCAAGUUUCAAGGCCACUAACCCAUUUUUUCUCCCUUUGCAGUGCCUUAUUUUAUGUAGACAUUCAUAUCCUACAAUAACAUUGUCGGUUAUCAAUCUAUCAGGAAUAAAGGCACUUUGCAUUGGAGAGAUGAUUUGGUGCAGAAUUUGUUUGAAUCUGUUGGCAACUGACUUAACCACUAUCCUAUAGAUAACGUUGCAAAGGAUGAUAGGCCUAAAGUCUAUAACUUUUCUAGGUUUUCCCUUCUUAGGAAUCAGGGCUAUGUAAGUAUAAUUAAGGGGGGCUAGAGUACCUUGUUUGUUUAAGAUGUGAAGACAGGUAGUAAGAACUCCCUCUUUGACCUCAUUCCAGUGCUUUUGGUAGAAAGCUGCUGGUAGCCCAUCAGGCCCCGGCGCCUUGGUUGGACACAUUUGAUUUAAGGUUUCAGUCACUUCCUCCACUGUAAAAGGUUUCUCUAACGACUCAUUCAUGUCCUCGGAUACUCUCGGGGUGAUACCUUUUAGUGCUGUUUCCAUCUGGUUUUGACUCGGCUUGGUUGUUGUAAAUAGCUUUGUGAAAUAGUUGCAGAAUUCAGCCUCCACAUCUUUGGCUUUCUUUAUCCAAUCCCCUGAGCUAUUUUCAAUCCCCCAAAUUCUGUUCUUUUUCUUUCUAUUCGACGCUUUAUGAUGGAAGAACUUUGUGUUCUUGUCCCCUUCCUUAAGCCAAUCUGCUCUUGAGCGUUGCUUCCAGUAAAUCUCCUCAUCAAUGAUGAUAUUUUGAAUAUGAUUUUCCACCAUUUUAAUCUCUUCUCCAGAUUCGUACUGCACCCCUCUCUGCUUCUAUCCUUGAAGCUGCUUUUGUAACUGCUCAAGCUGUUUUUCCCUUCCCCUGAAUUCCCUCUUGCUCCAGUUUAAAAGCCUAGCCAUUGAUUCUUUAGCAAUCUUUCGAAACAAAUAAACUGGAUUGCCACUCUGCCAAUUACUGUUCAAGCUUCAUUCCUCGCUAACUAUCUCCUUACAAGCCUCAUACGGGCUCCACAUGUCCUCAUAAUGAAUUCGUGAGGAUUGUCUCCUACUCGCAGCCAUUUCCUCUCCCCUCUCUUGAACCACCAUCAGCACUGGACAAUGGUCUGAGGUCCAUGUGUUCAGGUUGAUUGUUGCAUCAUUGACAAAAAUAUCACACCAGGCUCUGUUGCAUACAAAACGGUCCAGCCUUUCCUCUAUAAAUCUCUGUCCAAACCUCCCAUUACUCCAAGUAAAAGGGUAACCCUUAUACCCUACAUCUGCUAAUUCACAAUCUCUCAACGCCUACCUGAAGCUAUUAAUUGAGUUGACAUUUCUCUCAUUGCCUCCGCUCUUCUCAUGAGGAUGCAGAACUUCAUUGAAGUCUCCGAAACAUAACCAAGGACUAGGAGACAAACCUACCAACCUUCUCAAGAGUGUCCAUGUAUGUUGUUUCUGCCCCAUUUCCGGAUGCCCGUACACUCCUGUGCAUCUCAUUUGCCUCCCAUUGGCCAUCUGAACUUCAGCAUCUAUGUGAUAUUUGCUGAACGAUUUAAUUUGCACACAAGUUUCUUCAUUCCAGAGCAAAGCUAAACCCCCUCCCCUUCCACUACAGCUCACGGCAAAACAAUUAUCAAAUUUUAAUUUUUUUCCAGUCACGUUCAUUUGCAUGGUUGACAGCUUGGUUUCACACAAAAAUACCAGUUGAGGACCAUGCAUAUGGAGGAUUUUUUUAAGUGCUAGAAAUGCUCGGGGAUUCCCCAAACCCCGAACGUUCCAUGAGAUGAUCUUCAUGGCUUUCGACGGGGCUGGCUUCCAGCCUCCGCCGAUAUCUCUGCUAUGGUUAAAUCCGUGUCCACCAUAUUUUCCAACAUCAAUGGUUCCCAGCUCAACUUAAUUUUUGCCGCUGGAGAAUGGUGCCCCUGCUUCUUUGUUUCUGAUUUGAUUGGACUAGAGAGCUUUGCUUGCUUUUUCAGGCUUUGUCCCAUUGCCUCUCUACUUGGUCGUUUAUGAGUUCCCAGCCCCAUUUUGGUUUCCCUUCCAUUUGGCUCUCUAACCCGUCUCUUCCAUUUUCUUUUUGUGGGCAUUUCUUGAGUAAUUUCCAGCCCAUUAUCUAUUUUAGCUUCCUCCAUUUCUUCCAAAUUUGUCUUGGACUUUUCCCUCUCUUUCUCCAUCCCAUCUCCCGCCAAUAUUCCCCCUUCUCUAGGAAUUAUUUCAUUGCUGAUGUUCCCACUUUGCUUUUUGCCGCCCAUUUGCUUUUCUUUCAUCGAUUCUACUACUCAUUUCAUUAAAUUCUGCUCACCUACUCCUUCCACCUCAUCAAUCUUGGUAGUCUCCAUGGUUUGACCCGUUUUUUCGCCCAUGGGUUCUGACCCACUUGUUCUAAUCGGGUUGUCCUGGUUUUUUUGUUGUUGUUGUUGCCGGUGGAUUCCGUUAUGCUCUGAACUUUCUGAUUUUUCUUCUGAUCUACUCCCUUCAUAAUUCCAUCUCUCCUUGUUGCGGUUCUUCCUUGAACGACCUCCUAUGAUAAUUGCUUUCAUCCACCCACCGUAUGGUAGUUGCUCUUUUUGAUGUCCCUGAAAUUUGGCACACUCUUUGUAUUGAUGCCCAAUGAUGCCACAACAAUAGCAGAAAUCUGGUAGUCGCUCAUAGACCACUGGCAUUGGAAUGUCUGAUUCACCUUCUUGUUUAAGGAAGAGUAUUUUCUUCAAUGGCAGUGUUAUAUUGAUUAAUACUCUUAUUCUCGCAAAUUCGCCAAGACAUUCUCCAUUUUCAUCUGUCUCAACCUCCUCCACUGCCCCUAUCAUUCCUCCCAAUUCUUGGAGCAAUUCUUUCUCCAUGCAUGCAAUCGGGACGUUGCGAAUCUGUAUCCAAAAGGCUGUGUGGGUAAAGGAUUGCUUUGUCAUCUCCCCUAUUUCUUUUGGUUCAGUAAGAACAAUCAAUGCUCUAUCAAAGUGCCAAGGACCUCCUGUUAAUACUCUUUUUUUAUCCGCUUCUUCUAUAAAUUUAAACAUAAAGCAAUUGUUCCCUAAGCUUUCAAUUUUAACCUCUUUUAUAGUCCGCCACACUUGCUGUAAUGCACUCUUAAAUUCCUCCUUGUUGACUGCUCUUGUGAGGAGGACUUUGCCCACUAAGCAGCUUGCCAGCAUUUUCCCCCUUGUGGCUUUCAUGUUCACCUCCAGUGUCAUAUUGGUUUUGUCUUCCUCUCUUAUAGUUAUUGCGUUGCAUUUACGGAUUAGCUCGUCUGUAUCCAUAGCAUCAAAAGCUUCAGGAUAUGGAUACAAUAGUGCCUAUUUGUAUAACCCCCGUGUAUAACCCCUUGCCUUCUCUGCUCUCCCCAACUCUGUUUAGUACAAUACUCAAACAUCCACCGAGAAUAAAGAAACGCUAAAGCUAAAAGAAAACUUAAACCUGAAAGCACUCACUUCGGAGUGACCAUUGAGUCAUUAAGACCCUUUAAAGCUUCCAUUCCAGCUUCUCUGUCAUAGAGAGAGCGUUUGAAGGACAAAGGAGUGUUUUCACUAAGGAGUUGGUCCUUCAGAGAAAAGCCACUUUGGGCCAAAACCCUAUUAAGAGACACAAGCUCAAAUCUUGAUAAAAAAUUUAUUAAAAGCCUUAGUACCUUAAUUCUGACCAAAACUUUAAUGGAUAAAUUUCAUUCAAAAAAUAAAAUGUGAUCACAAAAAAUUCAAAAUUUAAUUUGAAAAAUCCUCCAUCCAAACCGCUAAAUCAUGAACCUUUAACGCAAUUUUGGCUAGACUAUAAGCCGUUUGAUUUGCACAUCUAAUAAUAUGCUUAAUAUAAGAGACAAUUAGGGGUGGGCACGGUUCGGUUCGGUUCGGUUCGGUUCGAAAUUAAGUAGAACCGAUUUAAAUCGGUUAUUUUAUAAAAAGAACCGAAUAAGAACCGAACUAAAAAAGAACCGAAUUCAAACGGUUCUUUUCGGUUCGGUUCGGUUCGGUUCGGUUCGGUUUUUUCGGUUCUUGGCCUAUUUUGAAUUUUCAAAUUUUUAGCCCAUUGGGCUUCAUAAAUGUAAUAAUUUUUUUCAACAAGUUCAUCCUAAUUUCAUUACAAAUAUUAACAAUAAAUACAAAGUAUUCAAAACACAUUUUAUCAAUAAUAUCUUACUAACUAUUAAUAAAUAAUUAAAUAAAAAAUCUAUAUAAUAAGAUGCUAGUUUAAAAAAAAAUAAAGAAAACUUACUGGUAAGCAACAUCAAUCAACUAUCAUUUACUCCUCAGCUACUUGCUGUUGUUUUUAAGAUUGCAUUAGCCUAAAAAAUUCUUCAAGAAAUUGAAAUUUACGAAAUUUACGAAAUUUUUUUAUAUUUGAUUUUAGGGUUUAUUUUGGGAAAUAAAAAUUUACGAAAUUGUAACACUAACAUAUAUAUAUACUCUGAUUGUGUGUAUGCAAGUUUAUGUUAGCUAUCUUACACAAUCAGUUAAAAAUUAACACAUAUUUAAUUUAAUAAAAUUUAAAAAUAAUUCGGUUUUUCGGUUCGAUUUUUCGGUUCAGUUAAAUGAACCGAAUACCGAACCGACAUUUCGGUUUUUUUAUAAAUUGUACCGUUCGGUUUUUUGUAAAAAAAAAAAACCGUACCGAAUUAGAAAAAACCGUCGGUUCGGUUCGGUUUUUUUAAGACUACGGUUUUUUUGCCCACCCCUAGAGACAAUGCUAGAUACUUAGUACAUCAUGUAUCACCUUCACCAAACAGAAGAGCUUAAGCCUCAACAUGAUCAACAUCAGUUGUUUAAGCACACAUUCACAUAUUACAAGUUGUUUAUAACUACUCGGACGUUUUAGUCUUUUCAAAAUUUUUAAAUCAAAUUUUUUUUAUUGAAGUAGCUUUGUUGUAUACAAUUCUGAAAAGUAAUCAGUAAUCUUAAGAAAUUGUGAGAAGUUCUUUGCCGAUUCAAUUCCUAUCAAUAUGGUGCACCUCUCAUAGAACUUUUAAGAUUGUACACUGUUAUUUAUUUAUUUACUCUUAACUUUUUAAGAUGCAUAACAUGGAGUUCAAGAAGAAUUCAAUAACAGCAUUUAUCCUUAAUUAUUUGUUGAUUUUACAAAAAAUGACCUUGAAAAUCUAAAGCCUAGUUAAAGCUUUUGACCUUUAGUAGUUGAUUUACGUAAAAUGAGUAAACAUCUCGGGAAAUAAAACUGAGUUAAUGCAAUCACGUCUCCAGAAUUAAUUGUUGAUUUAAGCAAGAUAAGUAUAAACGUCUUGGGAAAUCUAAAAGCCUUAUACACACACAUAUCAAAACUUCUCUACAAUCAUACUCUAUACAGGACUAAUCUCUUAGUAGUCACAAAAAAAUUAUAGUCUUAGUUUUAACUAGUUAUAAAUAAGGAUAAACUCUAUAUUAUAAUAAUUUAUAAUAUUUUUAGAGCCCAUCUUUAGAAACUUGCCUCCAUGUAAUAAUAAUUUCUCUGAAUUUUGCAAAAAGAUAUAUGUUAAUUUUUUAAAAUUAUACCUAUCUCUUUUAUCAAUAUCUAUACAUUAGAUUUGACAUAUUCCGUUAAUUAAUUAUUAUGGUGUGUUUAUUUCUUGGAAUGAGAAAUGAGAAUGAUGAAUCAUUUCCAUUGUGUAUGUUUACUUUGCAAAAGUUGAAUCAAAUAAUAGGAAUGGAAAUGAUGGGAUCUACCAAAUUUAGGAAUGAGAAAUGGAAAUCUCAUUUCCUUAGAGGAUGGAGAGAGAAUGAGAUUCGAAUUCCUUGGAGUGACUUUCUUACCCCUAGUAAAAUAUGAAAAUCCUCAUAAUAAUAAUAAUAAUAAUAAUAACAACAACAACAACAACAAUUGAGGACAUUUUAAUAAUUUAUAAUCCAUUUGAUUCCAAAACAAAGUAAACACAUUGAUGAUAAUACAUAAGGAUGAAUAAGGCAAAACAAUAAUUUUUUUUGGAUAUAUCUUAUUAAGUUAUAACCACCUCAUAACAAUAACAAAAAAAAUUAUUCUCAACAUUAUAAUUAUAGAAAAGGUUUUAUUGUAUCUACAAUUUGCUGAGUUGUGUAUAAUUAGUGUAGAAUUUCAGUCGUAAAGCAAUGAGAUUCACAUUCUAAUUAAAAGAAGCAAGCGAGAUGGGAAUUUACGAUGACAUUGUCAAUAUCCAUAAAGCUGUCCAUACCACUAUGGACUAAGGCAGUCGACGGCAAAACUGUCCUCACAGAUAUCCAUAAUGCUGUUACAAAUGUCCAAGAAAAAUUUUAUAUAUAGCACUGAGGUGGUGGGAAGAUCCUAUCAAGUGGCAGAGCUGUUGGGAUUAGUCUCAUAAAUCAUAUUGCGGUCAAUGAAGGCCUUAACCACGUCCCUGGUUUGCAUGCAAUAAGCCCUUGAUUACUUUUUAUUAAAUUAUACUAAAGUGUUUAAUAUACGAGAGUAAAUUAUACUUGCACGUGAAGUUUUAUAUAAAAUUGCACUUGACAAAUAGAAUAAACACAAUAAUGAGUUUGCGUUAUCAGAAAUAUCUUUUUAUGGUUAGUGAUCAAGUUUGUUAUUUGAAAUGUGCCUGCGACUUGCCGGAUUUUGCCGUCUUAAAUUGGUUAAAUUUUUUCAGGUGAAUCUGCAGUUGCAUAGAUUGUACCUAGAUCACUCCCCAGUGAAAAGAAGAAGUUCAAAAAAAGAUAAAAGUGAUAGAUGAGAUGGAGAAAGAACUCGGGAGAUUAUAACAAAUUAUUUUAGAGUUAGCUUUGAGACCAAGGCCUAACGAAAGACCUCGUAUGUAUUUAAUUAGUCAAAUUUGAAAGAAAAAAAGUACAAUUCUUGUCAAUGAUCUUGUUUCUAAGGAGACAAUGUUAAUCACAUAACGCACAUAGACAAUAUCAGCUACCCUUCUUUUUUAUUUUUUUUAAUAAAUCAAAUCAAAAUAAAUACAAAAUUGGGGUGUCCUUGCGAUCGCGCUGAGGCUGAGAAAUAACGGAAAGCCAUUAUCAAAACUGGAACAAGGAGAAGCAUCCAAGGCGUUGUCGACAAUGGCAGCAGAAAAAUAGUGGCAAAAAUAGAAGCGAUGGGGUGAAGAAAAAGAGCGCAGCCAUAAUCAGGAGCAUCAUUAAAAAAUGGGGCAAUGGCAGCGCCAACAACGGCAGCGCCAACAGUGACACAACCAUGACCCCAAUUUAUGCAGGCACCCAAAGCUGGGAACCUUCUUCCGGGAAAAUAAGACUGCAAAGGACGUGAACUCUCUCAAUAGUGCUUAGGAUUUGGCUUAUGCCUUGGCCUUGUGUGGUAGUCCCUUCAAAUAGGACAGAAAUCGAAAGUAUAUUCAAGUUAGGAAUCCCCUCAUCUGUAGGAAAACUCCUUUAAUACCCAGGAGUUUCAAGAAAAUUAAUACUCCUAGUGGCUAGUGGGGUAGUGGGUCAUCUAUUUAGAUUAGGACAUAUUAAAUGUCAGCAUUGGUGCAAUACAUGUGAAUCAAGUGAUAUUAAAAAUAAUAGCUAAAAAAAGAAGAAGAGAGAACUGCUGCCACAAAAAAAGUUCAACAAAUCAACACUAUCUGAAUACAGAAGUGAAAAUAGGAGCAACUUUCAGGCUCAAAGGAUCUCAUAUACAUAUCACCAACUGAUACUGUUUUGCUGCCACCAGAUUACACGACAUUGCCAGCCGAAGACGACCACUUAAAACAAAAUGGCCAAGGAAAGCCCUCAAAAACCUAGCAUAUAGAGCACGCCAAAUGACAUAGCAACAGAAGACCUAUACAAGCACUAAGUUUCAUCAUCCUAGAGACAUGUUGACAUUUAUGCACAAAGUAUGGAGUCAGUUGAAUUAUAUUUGUCCAGAGCGGUACUAGUUCGCGAUUGACACACCACAACAAUAUUAGUAGACCUGAAAGAACAAUGGUUCACAAUCCUUUAAAAGAAAUUAAUGAGUAUUUUUAAAUUCACCAGAUUGAAAUUGAACAAAUUGGAUAAGGCAAAUAUAAACAGAGUUGAAGCUGAUUCUAAAACUUCGCACCACUUUAACAAUUGUGUAAAGAAAAAUAUUAUUUAUCAAGAAAUAUAUUUAUUCAUGCUCCGAAAGUGCUUGCAGUCAUCAGGAAACUUCUACUCAUCCCCACUGAAAGAUAAAUUCUGUAAUUCUUAUAAAUUUUAUUAUCAGAUUCCAUGAUUCUUAAGGAGCAACACUCUUUAAGACAAAAAAUAGAAAAUCAAAAAAAUGAAGGCAAUGAUUACAUAUUGUAAAAAUAGCAUGGUGUAGAUUAAACAACACCAUCUACAGUCAUGCCCAGAAAGGCAACUGGUAGAAAAUAUCAUUUACGUUACCAUCUGAGGUAGAAGGAAAGGAAAGACUAAUAUUGCAGUUAAUGAACAAUAUCCGUAAACAUCUUAUAACAUCAGGAUAAACUGCACACGAAUAAAAUGAGGGGGCACUCAACAUAAAGUGGGUGAUGAAGUUGAGCUUUUGUUGCAGUCACUUUAAGGGCGAAACUCAGAAACGAAAGGCAGAAGAAGGUUGCUGAGGCUGACACUAAAUUGCUUGGUGAAAUUUUCACUGAGAAGUUCAAUGAUCUAACCUUUGAAUAGUUUGCAACAGAUACACCCUUUUGAUACAUACGAUAGACAUGGAAAUAAAUGAAAACAUAUUGACGACAAGAAUGUAGAGCUGCUAAUCUUUUGUAAGAAAAGAUUUUCACUUAAGAUCCAUUGCGACUCUAAUCCACCCUUGAAUAGCUAAGUUAAAUACAAAAAGACUAAGGAUGUUAAACUUUUAUGCAAAAAGAACAUUUGGUGUCUGUGACUAUGUGCUCAAAAAAUACAUAAUGGACGAUGAUCUGCAAAAUGGGCUUAUUAAAUAAUCAUUGAACAGAAAACCAAACGCCUUGAGCAACCAAUCCUAAAGAACAGGGAAACUAUACCCACUAAAUAACAAAUGCAAACUGUACAGACAUACAGACCAUCCCGCAACCCUUCCUACAAUAAACAUGAGUGGAGUUUACCACUGAAAAGAGAAGCUAGUUCACAGGGUCAGUCCAGCAAAAAGCAACUCCAGCUCCCUUUCCUUUGAAGAGGUCCUCUGACGUAAAGAAAAACAAACAAUGAGAAAAUGAGCAUCAAAUUUCUAUUACACACACAAAAUAGCUUUCAUAUCUAACAAAACCAUAUAGAUAAAAUUACACAAUUCACUAAAAUACUCUAAACCAGUAUGGUAAACUUCAAAUAAGUCAGACUGAGUCUAAACAAUUGCAUGAACAAAUUAUUGUAUACCAGCUGAGACAUCAGUUGAAGAAUUUUAUUGAGUACAUGCAGGCAAUGACUAGCAUAAGCGCUGUUUGCAGGAAGCUUGUUCAUUCGUUUCACUUCUUCUUGAACAGCUGCCUUCUUCUCUUCAUUCCCCAUUUUCCGCCAUAUAUCUCCAAACUGGGGAGGAGCUGCAGUCCCCAUAAUCUGUUCAAAAUGACCAAACAAUGGCAAUAUUAGUCUAAAAUGAAAAUCAAAGCACCAUUUGGCAACAAGCAAAUAAUAUGAAUGAUCUACAGUUCCGAAACAAUUCUUUGGGCUAGAAAAUUAACAAAGAACGAGUAAAUUUUAUUAGUAGUUCAUAAAGUUACUUUUAAUUUUCCAAGUUACUACUCAAUUUUCUUUUUUUUUUAAUUCAAAUUACAAACCAAAAAUCUUCUUUGUCACUAUCUAUACUUCCAUUCAGAACUAAUGAUUAAUGGGUAUGGGCAAUUGAAUAUAAUCAAACACAAUGAAUGAAUUCAAAACACCAACAAAGAAAGCAAAAAAGAAGAUUUUUUUUUUCCUUCAAUACUUAAAAAGAUUAUGGCAAUAAAUAAAGACUUGCCAUGGAACCAAAUCUCAAUUAUGACUUGGGUUUUUAUGAAGAACCUAAAUUCAACAUCUCAAGGAUGAAACUGAUUCCGACACCGGCUUUAGAAAUUUUAACCCAUCAUUAAUUUGUGGUAAUAUUUUUAUUUACUUAUUUAAUAUUAGAUAAAAAUAAAUAAAUAUGAAACUAUCUCAAUAGAAUCAUUCAGUAAAUACAUAUUAUGUGUUUUAAAUUACUUUUCUCCAUCUAUUAUUAUUGGUCCAUUUCAAAGUGAUUAGUAUAUAUCUCAAAAACAUUAUUUGAUGAACACUCUAAUAAUUUAAUGCACCUACGCACACCCAAUAUAAAUUUUUCUCGUUAUUUUGUACUAAGUCAUCAUGAUUUAAAAUUUUAAGCAAUUGAAUUUUGUAUUAUGUAUACAAGAUAAAUAAGUUAUCUCACAGUUGAUGUUGAUCAAAGAGUACCGGACCUAUACAAAGCAUUUCUAUUUAAAUGCACCUUAUUAAGCAUUUCUAUUUAGAAGCACCUUAUAAAGGCAUUCUCACAAGCGCAAACCCAAACUAAAAUUACAACAUUCAAAACAUACUAUUCCCUGUUCUUUCGGCAUUCUCUCAAGAAUCACAUGUUUAAAUGCCUACAGCAUUUUGGUCUCCAUAACUUCCAGUUUAAGUUCAUAGAACAAACUUGUUUAUGAAACAAUAAAAAUAAGAAAAAGAGUGAGAGAAUAAAACACAAAUCACCAAGAUAUCAUUAAGGCUUCAUAUACAAUCAGCGAUCACUGUAACAUGAUAUAUCUACAGUAAAUCAUAUUAUAUAUUGCAUUAAUUAUGUAAUAUGAUCAAUUUUAAGGUUAGUGAACUUAACCCCAUUUUAUAGCCUGGAUCGAAUUAAAAUUCUUUUCUCCUUGGUUUUCAGAAGAUCUGAUCCCUUGAUGCCUUCAUUUGGUUUCUUCUUCUGAGGAAUUGAUCCUUUAGUAGGUUUCACUGAUGUCUUGUUUUGUGGCUCUACGUUGUUUAUCAGUUCCUGCAUUUCUUCCAUCUUUGCUUGCAUCUCCUUUGCUGAUUCAAUAUCUUUGCA
RNAcentral lists this long non-coding RNA (24199 nucleotides) under Citrus maxima (pomelo). RNAcentral's name for it is "long non-coding RNA (CMAX_LNC000795)". Lineage: Eukaryota; Viridiplantae; Streptophyta; Magnoliopsida; Sapindales; Rutaceae. The record is from RNAcentral.